UACGGAGGGUGCAAGCGUUAUCCGGAUUCACUGGGUUUAAAGGGUGUGUAGGCGGGUAUUUAAGUCAGUGGUGAAAUCUCCAGGCUCAACCUGGAAACUGCCAUUGAUACUAUUUAUCUUGAAUCCUGUUGAGGUGGGCGGAAUAUAUCAUGUAGCGGUGAAAUGCUUAGAUAUGAUAUAGAACACCGAUUGCGAAGGCAGCUCACUAAACAGGUAUUGACGCUGAGGCACGAAAGCGUGGGGAUCAAACAGG
Molecule: ribosomal RNA, 253 nt
Filed under: uncultured bacterium
Lineage: Bacteria
Description: partial 16S ribosomal RNA
Rfam family: Bacterial small subunit ribosomal RNA
Source: RNAcentral